UACGGAGGGCGCGAGCGUUAAUCGGAAUCACUGGGCGUAAAGCGCGCGUAGGCUGUUGUGUAAGUUGGGGGUGAAAUCCCACGGCUCAACCGUGGAACAGCCCUUGAUACUGCGCGACUUGAAUCCGGGAGAGGGUGGCGGAAUUCCAGGUGUAGGAGUGAAAUCCGUAGAUAUCUGGAGGAACAUCAGUGGCGAAGGCGGCCACCUGGACCGGUAUUGACGCUGAGGCGCGAAAGCGUGGGGAGCAAACAGG
Molecule: ribosomal RNA, 253 nt
Filed under: uncultured bacterium
Lineage: Bacteria
Description: partial 16S ribosomal RNA
Rfam family: Bacterial small subunit ribosomal RNA
Source: RNAcentral